Molecule: small nuclear RNA, 104 nt
Filed under: Dasypus novemcinctus (nine-banded armadillo)
Lineage: Eukaryota; Metazoa; Chordata; Mammalia; Cingulata; Dasypodidae
Source: RNAcentral
GUGCUUGCUUCAGCAGCACAUACACUAAAAUUGGAAUGAUACAGAGAUUAGUAUGGCCCCUGCACUAGGAUGGCAGAUGAAUUCAUGAAGUGUUCCAUAUUUUU